GGCGGAGUGGCCGAGAAGGUGGUGGGUUGUAGCUCCAAGUACAGAGGUUGAGUCCUCUCUCCGUCA
This 66-nucleotide transfer RNA is filed under the name Synapturanus sp. MZUSP 159221. RNAcentral's name for it is "tRNA-Tyr". It matches the Rfam family "tRNA". Rfam says of the family: Transfer RNA (tRNA) molecules are approximately 80 nucleotides in length. Lineage: Eukaryota; Metazoa; Chordata; Amphibia; Anura; Microhylidae. The record is from RNAcentral.